UCCGGUGCAGAGGCGGGAAUGCUUAUAGAAGACGAGAAGACCCUGUGGAGCUUAAGUCACAUAACUCAACAAAUACCAAUACAUAACCUAGUGGAACAACCCGUAUAAGCCCCUGAGUUGUAGUCUUUGGUUGGGGUGACCUCGGAGCAUAAAAUAACCUCCAAAUGAGUAUAACCCAGAUUAACAAAUCUAAGUGUAACAAUACCAGUAAUCGACCCAUCUUUUGAUCAACAGAACAAGUUACCCCAGGGAUAACAGUGCAAUCCUAUUUGAGAGCCCAUAUCGAAAAUUAGGGUUUACGACCUCGAUGUUGGAUCAGGACACCCAAAUGGUGCAACUGCUAUUAAAGGUUCGUUUGUUCAAAGAUUAAAGUCCUACGUGAUCUGAGUUCAGACCGGAGAAAUCCAGGUCGGUUUCUAUCUGUAAAUUC
This 430-nucleotide non-coding RNA is filed under the name Sarcophilus harrisii (Tasmanian devil). RNAcentral describes it as "Bacterial large subunit ribosomal RNA". It matches the Rfam family "Bacterial large subunit ribosomal RNA", at positions 2049 to 2651 of the family's 2925-position model. Lineage: Eukaryota; Metazoa; Chordata; Mammalia; Dasyuromorphia; Dasyuridae. The record is from Rfam by way of RNAcentral.